Molecule: long non-coding RNA, 517 nt
Organism: Oncorhynchus tshawytscha (Chinook salmon)
Lineage: Eukaryota; Metazoa; Chordata; Actinopteri; Salmoniformes; Salmonidae
Source: Ensembl
UGGGGGAGUAAGUCUGGUGGAGUAAAGCUGGGGGGUGAGUCUGGUGGAGUAAAGCUUGGGGAGUGAGUCUGGUGGAGUAAAGCUGGGGGAGUGAGUCUGGUGGAGUAAAGCUGGGGGGGAGUGAGUCUGGUGGAAUAAAGCUGGUGGAGUAAGUCUGGUGGAGUAAAGCUGGGGGAUGGAGUCCGGUGGAGUAAAGCUGGGGGAGUGAGUCUGGUGGAGUAAAGCUGGGGGAGUAAGUCUGGUGCGGUAAAGCUGGGGGGUGAGUCUGGUGGAGUAAAGCUGGGGGAGUAAGUGUGGUGGAGUAAAGCUGGGGGAGUAAGUGUGGUGGAGUAAAGCUGGGGGAGUAAGUGUGGUGGAGUAAAGCUGGGGGAGUAAGUGUGGUGGAGUAAAGCUGGGGGAGUGAUCUGGUGGAGUAAAGCUGGGGGAGUGAGUCUGGUGGAGUAAAGCUGGGGGAGUGAGUCUGGUGCAGUAAAGCUGGGGGAGUGAGUCUGGUGCAGUAAAGCUGGGGGAGUGAGUC